GGCAUAGGAUCAGAUGUCUUAAGUUUGAACUUCAUUGUGAUUUCGAAUUCCGAAGUAUCUAUAUCAAUAACUUCAGCUAUCUUCUCCACCAAUUCGGCAUAUGUUGUCGAUCGUGGUAUCAUUAUCCCUUUAGCCUUUGAACCUUUGAACUUAUACUCGUCAUUUUGCUCAAUCCAUUCACCAUUGAAGAGAAUAGGCACACGUAC
RNAcentral lists this long non-coding RNA (206 nucleotides) under Citrus maxima (pomelo). RNAcentral describes it as "long non-coding RNA (CMAX_LNC003118)". The record is from RNAcentral. Lineage: Eukaryota; Viridiplantae; Streptophyta; Magnoliopsida; Sapindales; Rutaceae.